CGUAGGGUGCAAGCGUUGCCCGGAUUUAUUGGGCGUAAAGGGCGCGUAGGCGGCUCGGCACGUCCGUUGUGAAAUCGCCCGGCUCAACUGGGCGGGGUCGGCGGAUACGGCCGAGCUGGAGCAAGCUAGGGGGUAAUGGAAUUCCCGGUGUAGUGGUGGAAUGCGUAGAUAUCGGGAGGAGCACCAGUGGCGAAGGCGGUUACCUGGAGCUUUGCUGACGCUGAUGCGCGAAAGCGUGGGGAGCGAUCCGGAUUAGAUGCCCGGGUAGUCCACGCCGUAAACGAUGCGGACUAGGUGUCGGGGGUAUCGACCCCCUCGGCGCCGCAGCUAACGCAUUAAGUCCGCCGCCUGGGGACUACGGCCGCAAGGCUA
Molecule: ribosomal RNA, 372 nt
Filed under: uncultured organism
Description: bacterial SSU rRNA
Rfam family: Bacterial small subunit ribosomal RNA
Source: RNAcentral